GACGAACGCUGGCGGCGUGCCUAAUACACGCAAGUAGAACGCUGAAGGAGGAGCUUGCUUCUCCGGAUGAGUUGCGAACGGGUGAGUAACGCGUAGGUAACCUGCCUGGUAGCGGGGGAUAACUAUUGGAAACGAUAGCUAAUACCGCAUAACAGUAGAUAUUGCAUGAUAUCUGCUUGAAAGGUGCAAUUGCAUCACUACCAGAUGGACCUGCGUUGUAUUAGCUAGUUGGUGAGGUAACGGCUCACCAAGGCGACGAUACAUAGCCGACCUGAGAGGGUGAUCGGCCACACUGGGACUGAGACACGGCCCAGACUCCUACGGGAGGCAGCAGUAGGGAAUCUUCGGCAAUGGACGGAAGUCUGACCGAGCAACGCCGCGUGAGUGAAGAAGGUUUUCGGAUCGUAAAGCUCUGUUGUAAGAGAAGAACGAGUGUGAGAGUGGAAAGUUCACACUGUGACGGUAUCUUACCAGAAAGGGACGGCUAACUACGUG
This 495-nucleotide ribosomal RNA is filed under the name uncultured bacterium. RNAcentral's name for it is "partial 16S ribosomal RNA". It matches the Rfam family "Bacterial small subunit ribosomal RNA", at positions 28 to 507 of the family's 1533-position model. The record is from RNAcentral.